GUUCACUCCUUUUUUUCAGUAACCGCUUUGGAAUUCGUACCAAGGUGCCAGACAACAUAGUUGACACACAUUACGAUCCUCUUUAAUCUUCAUAACCCCUGGAGGCCCAUCAGACCUUCCUGUUGAAGGCCUUGGAGAACUGACUGCAAUUUCCAGUUUGAAAUUAAGCCAAGUGAAGGCUUCGGCAAUAACAGCAACAAGCCUGGUCUCUCUGGGUCUUCUCUAGCAAUUGCACUUCUCACUAUUUCAUUGGAAACAGAGGUGACAUUUCAUGUCAGCCAAGACACUGAAGUCUUACGAUAUUCUGACUCCUCUCCACCCACAAUGCUGCAGCUUUGCAUCAUGACGUGGUGACGACAGAUCUCAGGAAUGUGCUGCAAUUAGACCUGGAAGACAGCCUGAGCCUGCUGCUUGGAGCCUGGGGACCUGUACCUCCCUCCACCAAACUUUUGAGCCCCCACCUCACUCCCUGUCCUGUGCUCAAGAAUGGCUCUUCUUGUAUGCUUAGAAUAGCAACUUGGUAAACUUGGCUUUGUCUUUCUGUCUUAGGCAGCUUCUGGGAAGUGCGGAGUCUCAGCAAGGAGACAGAAUUUCUUGACUCUAGGUGAAGCAGUAAGGGACAGUAGGCCAAAGAUUAAAGUCCUAGUGGUUGAGCAAAGCUGAAAGCAACUUUCUUAGCAGCCCAGGAUAGAGACUAGGGGCCUCCACCUUCUGUUCUCCUCCCAUCCUGCCCACCCCCAUUUUUUCAUUUGUUCUUAUUAGUUAGAUAUGAUAGUAGAAUGUAUUUUGACAUAUUAGACAUAUAGGAAGAAUAGCUUCUCAUUUUUCUGGUUGUACAUGAUGUAGAAUUACAUUGGUCAUGUAAUCGUAUAGGAGAGUAAUGUCAGAUUCAGUCUAUCAUCUUUCCUAUUCCCCUUCCCCUUCCCUUUUCUUUUGGUAGAGCCAGUGCAACACAGUAACGAUAACCUCCCAGUCACUGAGCCUUCUAGACCCAGCACAGAAUCGAAUUAACAGUUGUAAGUCUCUCAAGGGCUCAGUGAGAUCAGUAUCACUCACUGUAAUUUACAGAAAAGGAAACUGAGAUUCUGUCACUUGACAACUUGCUAUGUUCCCAGCAAUGCAAGGAAGCAUAUCCACAGAGCUUUGAUCCUGAAGUUCCUAUCCUCUUUUUUAUGUUCUUCAUGUCUAUAUAUCUAUUUUUUUAAUCCAUGAUACAAAGUUGAUACAUUGCACUUCACUUUUAUGUCAUUUUUGUCUUUCCUAAUUUAGAAGAGUUGAUCUGAAGUUCGUCUUCUGAACUGCUAUUUAAAACAAGUUGCUUUGAACAAUAGCAAAGGUAAGGGGCUGGGGAUGUGGCUCUAUGGUUGAGCACUUGCCAAGCAUGCAUGAGGCUGUGGGUUGGAUCCCAGCUCAGCAUAAAUCAUACCUGGAUGCAUACAAACAUAUUUUAUGCGUAUUAUGUAUGUAUGUCUUCCUGGCAAUUUGUACCUUUCCAAUGGUUCUUUUGGCUUUGGGAGACACAGAAGCAGCAAAAGGGUAGAAUCAAAAGACCAGAGGAACAACUUUGGGUAAGGUUCAGAAGACAUGUUGGGCCACUUGUAGAGAAUGAGACAAAGUAAGAUGUUAAAGUUCUUGAGUUGAAGUUUUUUCAUAAUUCAGCAUGUUUCAGGCACCAUUCUAAGUACCUUUCUCAUAUUUCCCUUCAUUUGAAUCCUCCCAAUCAUCCUACGAGGCAGUUUGACUCUAAAAUGUUUCUUAUUUCACCCACAUGAAGCAAAUGGUUCUCAGUAACCUGACUAGUAAGUGGCAUAACAGAGAUUUCCACUGCCCUCCUGGGGCUGUUGCCCAUUGUAUAUCAAGUGCCUCUCACCCUGACAAAACCAAAUCGGGAACCAUGUUACUUUUAAGACUAGUUUUCUGAACUGUAUUUGUCUGACCUUCACUGAACCCCUUUCCUGAAACCCUUGGUGGGUUUAUCUAAGUGGAGUGAGAAUACAGUCCUGAAUUCAUUGUGCUGACUUUACAACCUAAGCCCACACCCUCCUUCCGACCACACACAUGCAGUACACUCACGCAUGGCUAACACACAACCACACAUAUAUCCAGUGACAUAUCUUAAGGUUAUAUGUGCUGGGCGUUUUGCAAAAUUGACCCUUCAGCAAACAAGAAUACCAGAAAUCUCCAUUUACCGUCAUCCAAGCCAGGGAGCUCAUGGAUCCUAAAGGCAGUGUUAGAAUACCCAAGGAUCUGUCUAUACACUUUUCUUUUGUUAAUUCCUUUAAUUUAGAACAAUUGUUGCCUAACUAUAAAAAUUACCAUGUAGAGAGUUGCAUGCAUUAAACCAAAGGGUAGCCAUGAACAUGAUGGUCACAGAGGGCUCUGCUUCCCCUGUGGCUACCCAAUCAAAACAUCCCAGUUGAGCACCCCAGAUGAGUCCCCACUGAGAGCCGGCUCAUUGUCAAAAUGCUUCCAGGAUUUAGAAGUUCCCCAACCACCUCCUUCUCCUGUGUCCUUCACUCCAAUUCUGGAGGUAGCCAGUCUGACCCCACAAGGCUUGUUAAAGUAAAUUAAAAUAGAGAUACCAGGCCUGAAGAAUUCCUGAGCACACUAAGCCAGGUGUUAAGCCUCUAAGUGACCUCCACCUUACUUGUUUGAAAAUAGAAGCAAAACAACUUGAGUGUUCCAUGUAAAUGUCUGUAUAAAAGAAAAAGAGGACUUACGUUCAGCCAAUCAGUGGGCAUCAAAACAAAACAAAACAAAACAAAACCUAGGGACUUUCCAAUGGGAUGGACCAUUUACAAUAAUUCUAUAACCAUAACUAAUCAGAUAUUUCCUUUAUAUCCUAUUCAUGCUACAAAAGCCUUCCUGCCAUGAAGAAACGAAACAAGCCCAUCCCAUUUUCAGUUUGAAGCUGAGUCACGGUUUUCUCAAAUAACUCAAAUAUUGUGCCUCACUUUACCUUAUUAACAGGUGGCAUAUUGAUGCACCCAUUUCAUUGAUGGUGACUGUGGCACAGGGAACAACCCCAUUUGAAGUCAGAGGAUGCUAACCCCUCCGAGCUGUCCUGAAAUACAGUAGCAGAUUGCAUCAUGCAGCAUUGUACCAUGAGAGACUCAAAUGGCUGCUAGGCAAAUGGCAGCCUGAGGAUUUAAGAGCUCUUUAAAGGAAAUACAAAUAUGUGCCAUGGAAAUGGCUGAGAACACAUUCAGCUAAAUAAACAGCAGUAGGUAGGCUUUUUAGUUUCUAAAGCACAGUGUCUUCUUGAAUAUUUUCCCAUUCUAUCUCCAAGUAGUUUAUUUAAUCCAAGUUGGUCAGUGCAGAUGUUCUACCACACCCUCGGGUGGAUUUUAAUAACAUAGGUAUUAGUAGCUCUGUGUCUGCAGAGCAUGACCUUUUUGGAACCCACCCGCCUGGCUUUGCAUUCUUGCCUCUUUCAGGCACGAGCCUGUGCCCAUGGUGAAGUUCACAUCAUCUCUGUGUGCACCACAGAGAAUCCUCAUCUCUACAAUGGGGACAGCAAUGGAAUCUAUCUUUUGAGUUUGUUAUGAGGAUUAUAGUAGUUGAUCCAUGUGAAGAUCCUGGAAUAGGACCUUCACACACUAAGAAUCUUGCCAGCAUUAUCUCCUGUACCAUCAAAAGGGGAAAAUCAUCAUGAUGGGGGUCACUGAACAAGAUAUAGAUUUCGUUUGAGAUUUAAAAAAGAAAAUUGUAUCGCAUGGAGUGGACAAGAAUGAAGUUUUAGAUCAGACAAACCUCAGUCUGUGUCUUGGAUCUGCGUCCUAUUGGAGUUGACAUUUAUAUAACUUCUCUAAGCCUCAUUUUCCUUAUCUGUUAAAAAAAAAUGCCCACAGUAUGAGGAUUAGUGAAUGGAAACCACAGGAGGAGGCGGUGGCAUUCCUCAGAGCCUGGGAGUCUGGGUUCAGACCCUCAGCCUCUUCCUACCUAUGUGACUGCUAGAGUUUGGAUCUUUAAUGCCACCCCCCAGGCCCAUGUGUUCAAGCCUUGGCCCCCAGGCUGGCACUACAAGGAGGUACUAGAACAUUGAGGGGGAGGAGCUAAUGCCAGGUCUUUGGGUUAUUUAGGAUAUGUCCUUGAAGGGGGCUGUGAGAGGAUGGCCCACUGUUCUUCCUCUGCUUCACUUUCUGGCCCUAGGAGAACAGACCAGCUCCAUUACUUGGUCCUGUUGGACAGUGGUGCCUUGCUGUGGGCCUGAGGGAAAGAGGCCACUCCAUCAGCCAUGGGUGACUGGAACCGCUGAAACUGUGAGCCAAGGACAGAGAGAGAGAGAGAGAGAGAGAGAGAGAGA
Ictidomys tridecemlineatus (thirteen-lined ground squirrel) is the source of this 4306-nucleotide long non-coding RNA. RefSeq lists it as uncharacterized. NCBI's taxonomy places the organism in Eukaryota, Metazoa, Chordata, Mammalia, Rodentia, Sciuridae. The record is from RefSeq and is a predicted model, not a curated record.